This 283-nucleotide long non-coding RNA is filed under the name Homo sapiens (human). RNAcentral's name for it is "non-protein coding lnc-TGFB1-5:1". Lineage: Eukaryota; Metazoa; Chordata; Mammalia; Primates; Hominidae. The record is from RNAcentral.
GCCGGGCGUAGUGGCGGGCGCCUGUAGUCCCAGCUACUUGGGAGGCUGAGGCAGGAGAAUGGCGUGAACCCGGGAGGCGGAGCUUGCAGUGAGCCGAGAUCCCGCCACUGCACUCCAGCCUGGGCGACAGAGCGAGACUCCGUCUCAAAAAAAAAAAAAAAAAAAAAAAAAUUAGAUUCUUAGAAUUUUCACAAUCUUUUUUUGAGACAGGGUCUCGCUCUGUUGCCCAGGCUGGAGUGCAGUGGCACGAUCUUGGCUCACUGCAAUCUCUGCCUCCUGGGUU